RNAcentral lists this long non-coding RNA (1160 nucleotides) under Anser cygnoides (Swan goose). RNAcentral's name for it is "lncRNA (ENSACDG00005016862.1)". The record is from RNAcentral. Lineage: Eukaryota; Metazoa; Chordata; Aves; Anseriformes; Anatidae.
AUGUCACCAGGGGGCCCCAAAACCCAAUCGGAUGUCACCAGGGGGGCCCCAAAACCCAAACCCUGCUUAUAUGGACAGGGGGACAUCACUGGGCCACCCCCGCUCCCCAAACCCCGGUGGGACGGAGACGGGGACGUCACCAGGGUGUCCCCAAACCCCAGUCAAUAUGGAUGGGGGGACGUCACUGGGAUGUCCCCAAAUCCCAAUUGGACAUCACCGGGGGGUCUCCAUACCCCAUAUCCCAGUCAUAUGGACAGGGGGACAUCCCUAGGCCACCCCCGUCCCCCAAACCCCGGUGGGACGGACACGGGGACGUCACUGGGGGGUCCCCAAACCCCAAACCCUGGUCGGAUGUCACCAGGGGGUCCCCAAACCCCGCUGGAUGGACACGGGGACGUCACUGGGGUGUCCCCAAACCCCAAACCCCAGUUAUACGAACAGGGGGACAUCACCGGGGUGUCCCCAAACCCCGAACCCCGGUCAUAUGGAUGGGGGGACGUCACUGGGAUGCCCCCAAACCCCAAUUGGAUGUCACUGGGAUGUCCCCAAACCCCAAACCCCAGUUAUAUGGGCUGGGGGACAUCACCGGGGGGUCCCGAGACCCCAAACCCCGGUGUGACGGACACGGGGACGUCACUGUGGUGUCCCCAAAUCCCAAUUGGAUGUCACUGGGGUGUCUCCAAACCCCAAACCCUGGUUGGAUGUCACCAGGGGGUCCCCAAACCCCAAACCCCAAUUAUAUGGACAGGGGGACAUCCCUGGGCCACCCCCGCCCCCCAAACCCCGGUGGGACGGGCACGGGGACAUCACGGGGCCGCCCCCACACCCCGCACCCAUGCGGACAGACGGACAGACGGAUGGCCGCGGGGCCGGACAGACCUUCCUCGUAGGGGGUGUACUCGACGUGGUAGGUGCCGUCGCCCCGGUCCUCCACGAAGGUCUCGGUGCUGCCCCCCGAGGGGUUGGAGACGCGCGCCUUCACCUGCGGCCCCCCCGCUGGGCUCAGCGCCCGCGCGUCCACCUCGAACUCCGUCACCGCCUCCCGGAAGACGCCUGGGGGGCGAGGGGGGGGACACGGCGUCACCGCGGCCUCCGGUGGGACCCCCCCGGGGCGGGGGGGAGACCGCCCAGGGCCUCGACGGGGCCGUAAGGGGAGGGGA